UGGAAAUCAAAGGAUUGCACUGCAAUUAUAUAACAUGAAAAUGAAAAUAUGAACAUGUGGAAAGAGGAUGAGGAUCUGGAAGAGCACGUGGAAGUGGAAAUGGGCUGGUGGAUUCCUGGUUGUUCCUGUGGUCACCAGUGCAACUGAGGGACCCAUCUGAGUGACAGCAGGGGCAGUAGGCUUGAUGUGAAGUCCACAGAAGUGAAGGAAUAAACCCUUAUCAGCUCUGGCCCAGCCCCUCACACAGCACACAGAGUCAUUUAGGCUGAAAGAGGUAAACUGUUACAAGAUCUUCAAGGAACAAAGACUGAUUAAGGAUAAUCUUGUAGAAAAUGUUACCUUUUUAUGGAUGCAUUUAACAUGGGAAAUACUGUGGAAUUCAGCCAAAAAUCCAGCUCGUAUGCCAAGAAAGCCCAAAUGAAGAGAUGAGUGGAAAAUACCAGAUGCUUAAAUUUGUCUUGGAUUUUCUCAAAACUGCUAAGACUGGUUUUCUCCUUAAUUAGCCAAAUAAGGGAUGGAGUGCAUUUCUUUUUCAUGUACAGAUAUUUCUUGGAUGCUGUGAGUUAACCACCUCUAGGGCACUGCUGUCCCUGUCAGAGGAGGAGACAGAUGUGGCUUUCUUUGACAGCGUGAAGAGGAGAUGAGUGCUGUGGAGGACAUCCCAUCCUCUUCACCCAUGACACUGCUGCCCUGCCAGGAUUCCCCCAAGACUGAGAUUCCUGAGACUGCUGCUGUCUGGAAGUCAGCUUACAUUUCUGUCCUGAGAAGGAAAUACUCUCAAUGCAUAAUUUUUUUUUCAAACUAGGCAAGAUUUAUUUUCAGUCCAAGAGUUGUCUUUUGUUCAGUGCUUAGUUUGUUGUGUCACUUGUAAUGACUACAGUAAUAUCUGGAAAAAGAGAUAACUAGAAAAGCCUGCAGCACUUGAUUAUUCUGCUCAGAAUAUCUGAUAUAGCCCUUUCAGACAGCAGAUGUAAGUAGUAUGAAUGCAUACAAUUUCAUAGUAAUCUUAAUAAUCCAGUUACUCCCAUAAUUUUAUAUUAUAUACAAAUAUAUUAUUAUUAAUGUCACACUUAGAAAAA
This is a long non-coding RNA of Motacilla alba alba, 1079 nucleotides long. RefSeq lists it as uncharacterized. The transcript is spliced from 4 exons. Lineage: Eukaryota; Metazoa; Chordata; Aves; Passeriformes; Motacillidae. The record is from RefSeq and is a predicted model, not a curated record.